CCUACGGGAGGCAGCAGUGGGGAAUAUUGGGCAAUGGGCGCAAGCCUGACCCAGCAACGCCGCGUGAAGGAAGAAGGCUUUCGGGUUGUAAACUUCUUUUAUCAGGGACGAAGCUAGUGACGGUUCCUGAUGAAUAAGCCACUGCUAACUAGGUGCCAGCAGCAGCGGUAAUACGUAGGUGGCAAGCGUUAUCCGGAUUUACUGGGUGUAAAGGGCGAGUAGGCGGGAGUGGAAGUCAGAUGUGAAAACUAUGGGCUCAACCCAUAGCCUGCAUUUGAAACUGUGCUACUUGAGUGCUGGAGGGGCAAGCGGAAUUCCGUGUGUAGCGGUGAAAUGCGUAGAUAUACGGAGGAACACCAGUGGCGAAGGCGGAUUGCUGGACAGUAACUGACGCUGAGGCGCGAAAGCGUGGGGAGCAAACAGGAUUAGAUACCCGGGUAGUC
This 443-nucleotide ribosomal RNA is filed under the name uncultured bacterium. Its description in RNAcentral is "partial 16S ribosomal RNA". It matches the Rfam family "Bacterial small subunit ribosomal RNA", at positions 338 to 795 of the family's 1533-position model. The record is from RNAcentral.